RNAcentral lists this ribosomal RNA (253 nucleotides) under uncultured bacterium. Its description in RNAcentral is "partial 16S ribosomal RNA". It matches the Rfam family "Bacterial small subunit ribosomal RNA", at positions 524 to 776 of the family's 1533-position model. The record is from RNAcentral.
GACGGAGGGUGCAAGCGUUGUUCGGAUUGACUGGGCGUAAAGGGCGUGUAGGCGGUUGGCCAAGUCUGAUGUGAAAGCCCGAGGCUCAGCCUCGGAAGUGCGUCGGAAACUAGUCGGCUGGAGCGCGAUAGAGGAGGGUGGAAUUCCUGGUGUAGCGGUGAAAUGCGUAGAUAUCAGGAGGAACACCGGCGGCGAAGGCGGCCCUCUGGAUCGUUGCUGACGCUGAGACGCGAAAGCGUGGGGAGCAAACGGG